GUCCACUCCUCCCCCUGCUCUGGUUCGUGGCACAUCAGGAGACAUUGUUGUUCUGGUGUUGUUAGGAUUUUCUACUGUUUGGGAUCAAGUGUCUGCUGGUUGAGGUCAAUUUGAUUUUGUUUUGCUGCUAAAGUGUCAAAGCAGAGGAUGACCACAUGCUUGACUGAGUCACGAUGUGUUGAGGCUGGGAAGGUCGGCAUGGCCUCCAACCAUGGCAAAUACACCUACUAUGCUGCUGCCUUGCAAGCAGUAGUGGCUAAAAAUCAACCCCUAGCUGCAUAUUAUUUCUAGGGUAACAUCAUUGUAGGGAGGGAUUCUGAAGCCCAUCUACGCAGUAACCAGUGUGUUUGAGGCAAUUAGUACAAAAAACACCUAGGUAUGGUUAAAAUUCAGGUUAGGGUCUACAAGUAAUUAAUACAGUAUAAAUCUCCAAGGCCCUGAUUAUUUUCUUUUCCAAUCUUUAGUAUUCUCCUGUUUCAGGUUUUGACCAUGGCCAACAUAUAUUCUUGUAGGCUAAUUACUAAAUCAAUCUAACAAUGGUUCAUGUGGCAGUGGAGGUGUACCAAAGGUAGUUUGAAGCAGAUUAGGCGGCCGCGGGCGUCUUUGGCGGUGAGGCCGUCCAGUGAAGGAAAUGGCAGUGUGGCGAUUUGUGUUUUAUUCUCCAUCCUUUAAGCUCAUAACAGAAGAAAGAACUAUACAAUCACUAUUGUUUUAUUAAGAAAAGACCUGUCUUGUAUGCAUGUAUUGAUGAGUACUCCUCUUGACUCGAUUGUGUUGUAGGGAGCGAAAGCAUCUAGUUGCGGUGGUCUCCAACUCUGGUCGCCUCUAGCAGCACCACAUAAUCAAAGUUCCAAACAGUAGUGUUGGACUGCUGCCUCCAGCCAACCAUAACAUAAUCAUUGGAUGUGUUUCUUAUGUAGAAGAUUUGAGUGAUCUGCACGCACCAAGUUGGUGUAGGGGGACACCAUGGAAGGCUAUGUCGUAUAUUGUGGCGUCUGGAUUAGUCAUCAAUGAUCACUAACAGUCAUGCCGGUAUAUUUCCAGAAUCAUAACAAGGACGUAGUUCUUGCUACAGUUCUAAGUUAUGAUCCUAAAUUGAAAAUUGAUGGUGCUGAAAUUAAAAUGCAUUUUGGGCAGUGUAAUACAACACUUGCGAAAACUAAAGAUUUGGUACAGAGUCGCAAAAACUACAAUACUAAUGGUAAUGCAAAAAAAAAAAUAUUGCAUGGCCUUCAAUGUUUAUUGAAAAGAUAUAUGGAUGAUUAUAUGGGUGCGUAACAAGUAUACUGCAAUGAUGAUGACGACGACGACGAUAUUCUGGUUCAUGAUGUUGAUGAUGAUGGAUGCUUUCAAUUUUAGUUAAGUUGUGGGAUGUUCCUAUUGGAUGAUGUUCCUUAGUUAGUUUUAGUCAAGUUGUAGGGAUAUUGAUGGAUGAUUCUAGUUUAGAUUUUGCUGUCAAGAAAAUUUUAGAUUAUGCACACAUUUGGAUGAUGUUCCUCCUGUAAUAUCCAUUAUUGUAAUCCAACAUUUUUAUAUGAUAUAUGAUUUCUUCC
Non-coding RNA from Aegilops tauschii subsp. strangulata, 1553 nucleotides. The record is from RefSeq and is a predicted model, not a curated record. Lineage: Eukaryota; Viridiplantae; Streptophyta; Magnoliopsida; Poales; Poaceae.